This is a long non-coding RNA of Capsicum annuum, 674 nucleotides long. RefSeq lists it as uncharacterized. The transcript has 2 exons. Lineage: Eukaryota; Viridiplantae; Streptophyta; Magnoliopsida; Solanales; Solanaceae. The record is from RefSeq and is a predicted model, not a curated record.
AAAAAUGGAAGAAAGUGUAAUUACUUCCAAAAGUGUUAGUAUUCAUGUUAUUUAUACAAUUAUCUAAAAAUUAGGACCAAAUCCAAUCAGUCGGCCCAAAUGGCAAAUACCCAAACGGGCAACAGCAAAUCGGUAAGACAUAUGUCACCACUCACAACUGAACUCACAACAUCACUUAGCAGCAGCAAUUGGCACUUUCUUUUCUUUAGCAAUUAAAAUCCAUCGAAGAGACGAAGUACGAACGGCGGAAAGCGGGACGCCGGACAAUGAGCGACGAACGGCAAACUCACCGGAGAGGCUCAGCGGCGAAUCAAGUUCAAGUGAUGCCUCCUUAAUCCAAAAUUCACUCGGCUAUUUGGGAACAUUAUGAGGUAAUUCAAGACAAUGAAGAAGUGCGCAAGGCAAGAUGCUUGAAAUGUGGCUUAAUCCUCAAUUGCCCUCUGAAAAUAUGUGGGAGAUUCUCUUUGCGUAGGCAUUUCGAUAAGUGUUCUAUGAAAGACGAGAAGAAUUUACUCACUCUUUAAGCACUUGAGAUAAUUCGACCUAGUUGAAUUUUAACUUUUAAGACUUGUUGUUGCUUCUAUUUUGUUUAUAUGUGGGCUGCUACUGUUUUAGCCUUUUAGGCUGCUACUAUUUUUGCAUUUUAUGCUAUUAAUUGCUGCUAUUUCAGCCUU